GUGACUUCGGGAAGAUGGCUACCCUGACAGCGGAGCAUUUUGCAGCACUCCAGAGCCUGCUCAAGGCCUCCUCAAAAGAUGUUGUCAGACAGCUGUGUCAAGAAAGCUUUUCCAGUUCAGCCCUUGGCUCGAAAAAACUCUUGGAUAUUACAUGUUCCAGCUUGUCUGUGACCCAGGAGGAGGCAGAGGAACUGCUCCAGGCUCUGCACCGCCUCACUAGGCUGGUGGCAUUCCGUGACCUGUCCUCUGCCGAGGCGAUUCUGGCUCUCUUUCCCGAAAAUUUCCACCAAAACCUCAAAAACCUGCUGACAAAGAUCAUCCUAGAACAUGUGUCUACUUGGAGAACCGAAGCCCAGGCAAAUCAGAGUGAGUACCAAUAAAUCUGCCCUGCCCUUCUUACUUGUCUCCCCAGUCCCAGCUCUCAGUCUGUCAAGUGAUCAGAGAUUUCGACAGAAACCAAAGUGAACCAUUCUAGUCUCAACUCAUACUCUGUGUACGGUGGGUUUUUUUCCCUAAUUCUACUUUUUAACUUUUUUCUGAUAUAAACAUUAUUGUAUAGGCAUGUUGUUAAAAAACAGAAAUAUCCAAAGCAGAAAGUGAAGUACUUAAUAUUUCAAUUGUGAAAAAAAUUAACAAUAAUCAAAAAUAGUUUGAAAGGCUGAAUAAAAGUCCAUGUUUAAUAAAUGGUCAUUACAGUAACUCUGAGCCAGCCACGGUGCUGGAGCAGUUAAUCUGCAUUAAGUCAUUUAGUCCUCCCGACACCCUGUGAGCUAGGCUGAUAAGCAAACAGAAGCUCAGAGGUUAGAUAAGUGGUAGUACCUAUAUUCAAGUCAAGUCCGUUUAUCUCUAAAACAAGAGCUCUUACCAGUAUUGAUGAAGCUACACAUUUCCUAAGCCUCAGGCCAUGAUUUCUUCUCUGUCUUAUGUCACUUCUCAUUCUGCCCUAACAUCUGGAGGGCUGGGUGUUCAGGUAGAAGGCU
Molecule: small RNA, 980 nt
Filed under: Pongo abelii (Sumatran orangutan)
Lineage: Eukaryota; Metazoa; Chordata; Mammalia; Primates; Hominidae
Description: retained intron
Source: RNAcentral